RNAcentral lists this ribosomal RNA (200 nucleotides) under uncultured eukaryote. RNAcentral describes it as "partial 18S ribosomal RNA". It matches the Rfam family "Eukaryotic small subunit ribosomal RNA", at positions 588 to 788 of the family's 1831-position model. The record is from RNAcentral.
GCUCCAAUAGCGUAUACUAAAGUUGUUGCAGUUAAAAAGCUCGUAGUUGAAUUUCUGACUUUGAGGCGCGACCGACCCCGUGUGGGCCUGUGUCUGCGAAUCGAGGUCAUCCUCGAGGAAUGCGUAUCUGUCAUUCAGUUGAUGGGUACGAGUACCUCGUCAUUUACUGUGAGCAAAAUAGAGUGUUCAAAGCAGCUUAC